Molecule: ribosomal RNA, 465 nt
Filed under: Vreelandella stevensii
Lineage: Bacteria; Pseudomonadati; Pseudomonadota; Gammaproteobacteria; Oceanospirillales; Halomonadaceae
Description: partial 16S ribosomal RNA
Rfam family: Bacterial small subunit ribosomal RNA
Source: RNAcentral
CCUACGGGAGGCAGCAGUGGGGAAUAUUGGACAAUGGGGGGAACCCUGAUCCAGCCAUGCCGCGUGUGUGAAGAAGGCCCUCGGGUUGUAAAGCACUUUCAGUGAGGAAGAACGCCUGGUGGUUAAUACCCAUCAGGAAAGACAUCACUCACAGAAGAAGCACCGGCUAACUCCGUGCCAGCAGCCGCGGUAAUACGGAGGGUGCGAGCGUUAAUCGGAAUUACUGGGCGUAAAGCGCGCGUAGGUGGCUUGAUAAGCCGGUUGUGAAAGCCCCGGGCUCAACCUGGGAACGGCAUCCGGAACUGUCAAGCUAGAGUGCAGGAGAGGAAGGUAGAAUUCCCGGUGUAGCGGUGAAAUGCGUAGAGAUCGGGAGGAAUACCAGUGGCGAAGGCGGCCUUCUGGACUGACACUGACACUGAGGUGCGAAAGCGUGGGUGGCAAACAGGAUUAGAUACCCUGGUAGUC